CUGAGAACAAAUGAAAAUAAGUUGGUUUUAUUUUCCAAGCUUUUUCCAAGAGGCUCUUUUGGGACCUCACUCCCUAAUAUAUUCUCAUAAUGUUGCAGGCUUUCGGAACUAGUGAUGAAGCCCUCUAACAAUUUCCAGUGGCGAGUGAUUUCAUUUGAAGCCCGGCCAUCAGUAGGAUCAUUGAUGAUGGUGAAGCAAGCUAUAUUACAGAUGUAUCCUGUCUUGUCUCUAUCUCACUUGAAGGUACCUCAAGAUUUUCCUUCUACUUUUAUGACUGACCGCCAUUUUUGAAACAGUGACAGGAGGAGACUAGCAACUUUCCGUAAAAUUUUCUUUUUUCUUGUUCUGUUUACUUAUAAAGCUACAAUGGUGGGGGGGGGGGGCUCCAUUUAAAGUUUUAUUAUUUUGGUGAUAUGCCUCCCCCUCUUUGAGCCUGCCGGGGGGGGGGGGGGAGGAGAGGUAUUGCAGUCUCUUGAAAAUUUUUUGGAACAACAAUCCAAAUUGGAAAGUUUUAACUUAAAAAUGAAAGAAAGCUACAAUGUAUCAAGUGUUUUUUGUGUAACCUAGUAUAACAAUGAGUGGCAAAGAAACUUCUCUAAAUUUGCAGUGCUAAGGAAGAACGCCAUAUGAGCUUUCAGACAUUGCCAUAUUUCCCUCAUAAAAAACUAACUUUCUGGAAAAUUGUGAAUAUUUUUCUCUAAACUUUUCAGACAAUUUUCUUCACAAUUUAAUCUUAAAUAUCUGAAAAUUUAAGGAAACAUAUGUACAACUUUCCUCAAAAUACAUGUUUUUCCGGGAAAAUUUGGCAACUCUUGAAUAUUCAUACGGUGUUCUUGGCAGGAAUUCUACAUUGCAUAUUACAUUGCUCAGAUUAGAGAGAUACUGGAGUUAUCUCCUCAAUUCAUCACCGUUUCAAGAGGAUGUUUUGAUAUAAAAUGAUGGGCAUCAAGCUACUGAUAAACACACAUCUGAAGAGAGGGUUUCCUUGUUCCCAGCGAGGUCAGAUACCAGAUUUGUUAUCUCUCUCAUCUACUCUUGCAAUCAGGUGGAAGGAGGACUUGGUUACCUCUGUACCCGUGCUCAUUGUCAGUUUUAAGUGUGAUGUGAAGAAGUUGGUCAUUAUGGAGUUCAAAGAACCUUUCUGGAAAGAUGCUAUUCCCCUCAGUUCUUGCAGAGUUUGCAUCAAAUCUUUCUGCUGUAAACAACAUCGGAUUGCUCACGAGACUGAAGUGCACCCAAGCCAGUUAUCCGAAGUUGAAUCGUUACCAGAAAUAUGCCAGAAAUGUCAUGUCCUCGUGAGUAACUGCAAAGACCUUAAAAGUGAGUGUGUCAAAAUUGUAAGUGUUCCAUUAACAAAUAUCAAUCCAAAUACACCAAUAAUCAAUCGUGUACAUAAGAGAACCUAUGCUCAAAUGAACAUAGCCAAAGAGCAGCCUCCAACACCAAUGCCAACCAAUGCUCAUCCUUUGCGAGCAAAAAGAAAUGCAAAAAGGAAAGCUUGCAAGUCCAAAGAAACUUCCACCAAAGAAAUACUGAAGGAAAAUUCCUCUGAAACAAGUCCUCGAUUUGAAGAAAUCAAGUCCAGUAGCACUCCGAUUCGCAACCACCAUGAUCCUUUGCGGGUGAAAUUACUAAAAAGUAAAAUUGAGGUCCCAAGACAGACUCUAAGUGUGAGCACACGGACUCUGUCACCAUCACCUCAGCGCAAAAGACCAAACUUGUCCAUCGAAAAAAGUUGUCUAAUUUCAAGUGAAGUAAAAAAUGCUGUCUCUGAAUCUCCUCCACAAAACACAAUGGAUAUUUCUGUCUAUGGAACUCCUUGUGCCGAAAUAGUCACUCCAUUUCACUGUCCCAAAAAACACAACGUUCAUUUUACUCAUGUCUCUAUUUAUGAAGCAACAAAGUCAAGGGACUCUUCAACUUCUGCUAGCAUGAACUUCAGUGACAACUUUUCAAACGAAGACAUCAAUGUUGCUGGAGAAGCAGAAAAUGAAUGCGGUGCAUUUGUUCAUUCGAGAGACCAACUAAUGGACGGAAAUCACGCACCUGUUGAAAGUAUUUCCAGAAACAACCCACAGCCAACAGCUAACCUUCAAUGCAUGGAUACAAGUAUAGACAUCUCCAAUAACAUAGUUGCUCUAGCUAAGGACUCUUUGGAAUCAAAUCUCAGGCAAGAUUCUUUGAACUCAUCACCUUGCUCCAAUGCUCACACCCACACUAAAACACCAGAUUGCACAGUCUUUUUUCACCUCAUCCCAUCAAAGCUGAUCUAUCUAUCCAUCCUAAUUACAGGCAAGAAUUUAAUUUAUCUCCUUUGGACUCAGAGUUAG
RNAcentral lists this long non-coding RNA (2330 nucleotides) under Bemisia tabaci. RNAcentral describes it as "lncRNA ENSSSA2NGG006431". The record is from RNAcentral. Lineage: Eukaryota; Metazoa; Arthropoda; Insecta; Hemiptera; Aleyrodidae.